Molecule: ribosomal RNA, 931 nt
Filed under: uncultured prokaryote
Description: bacterial SSU rRNA
Rfam family: Bacterial small subunit ribosomal RNA
Source: RNAcentral
UUGCGCGCUGCUAUCAUGCAGUCGAGCGGAUCGAUGGGAGCUUGCUCCCUGAGAUCAGCGGCGGACGGGUGAGUAACACGUGGGUAACCUGCCUGUAAGACUGGGAUAACUCCGGGAAACCGGGGCUAAUACCGGAUAAUUUAGUUCCUCGCAUGAGGAACUGUUGAAAGGUGGCUUUUCGCUACCACUUACAGAUGGACCCGCGGCGCAUUAGCUAGUUGGUGAGGUAACGGCUCACCAAGGCAACGAUGCGUAGCCGACCUGAGAGGGUGAUCGGCCACACUGGGACUGAGACACGGCCCAAACUCCUACGGGAGGCAGCAGUAGGGAAUCUUCCGCAAUGGACGAAAGUCUGACGGAGCAACGCCGCGUGAGUGAAGAAGGUUUUCGGAUCGUAAAACUCUGUUGUUAGGGAAGAACAAGUGCCGUUCGAAUAGGGCGGCACCUUGACGGUACCUAACCAGAAAGCCACGGCUAACUACGUGCCAGCAGCCGCGGUAAUACGUAGGUGGCAAGCGUUGUCCGGAAUUAUUGGGCGUAAAGCGCGCGCAGGUGGUUUCUUAAGUCUGAUGUGAAAGCCCACGGCUCAACCGUGGAGGGUCAUUGGAAACUGGGGAACUUGAGUGCAGAAGAGGAAAGUGGACUUCCAAGUGUAGCGGUGAAAUGCGUAGAUAUUUGAAGGAGCACCAGUGGCGAAGGCGACUUUCUGGCCUGUAACUGACACUGAGGCGCGAAAGCGUGAGGAGCAAACUCGAUUAUAUACCCUGUUAGUCCACCCCGUAAACUAUGAGUGCUAAGUGUAAUACGGUUUCCGCCCUCUACUGCUGAGCUAACACAUUACGCACUCCGUCUGGGAAUGACGGGUCGCACGAUGAAUCUCACUUGAAAUUACAGGGGCCCGCACAUCGGUGCGAGCAUGUGGUUAAAUUCA